GAUGAACGCUGGCGGCGUGCCUAAUACAUGCAAGUCGAACGCGGGCACUUGUGCCCGAGUGGCGAACGGGUGAGUAAUACAUAAGUAACCUGGCCUUUACAGGGGGAUAACUGCUGGAAACGGCAGCUAAGACCGCAUAGGUAGGGACACUGCAUGGUGACCGUAUUAAAAGUGCUGCAAGGCACUGGUAGAGGAUGGACUUAUGGCGCAUUAGCUGGUUGGUGAGGUAACGGCUCACCAAGGCGACGAUGCGUAGCCGACCUGAGAGGGUGAACGGCCACAUUGGGACUGAGACACGGCCCAA
Molecule: ribosomal RNA, 304 nt
Filed under: uncultured bacterium
Lineage: Bacteria
Description: bacterial SSU rRNA
Rfam family: Bacterial small subunit ribosomal RNA
Source: RNAcentral